Molecule: long non-coding RNA, 273 nt
Organism: Nothoprocta perdicaria
Lineage: Eukaryota; Metazoa; Chordata; Aves; Tinamiformes; Tinamidae
Exons: 4
Source: RefSeq, a predicted model, not a curated record
CGGAGGCAGCUGCUGCCAGCGCCACCAAGGCAGGCUGCAGGUCCCCCCUGGCAGCAGCCCGCGUCACUGUCCCCUACAUGCCCUCGCCCUUUGGCUCUGCCCGCCGUGUGCCCACCACCCAGGCUGAGCUCUCCAGGGAGCCGCCGCCCUCCUUCUCCACACCUCGUGCCCUGCGCCCGCCGACGAGUGCCAAAAAGACUCCCCUGGCAGAGCGCGGCAGCCCCCUGCCCGUCCUCACCAAGCGUCCCCUCGGCAGCCCCCCCAGGGGCACCG